GGGGGCGAAAGGCUUCGACCGGAUGGGUAGAGAAGCAGGUUGCAUGUCCAGGAUGUCGGUUGGCCUGGCUAAUCAUCCGACACAAAUUUAAUUGGCAACUACCAAUUAAGAAUGGCUGCUUAAUUUAAGCACCCGUCCAGCGAGACAUCUCCCGCGUGUUUCGCAUGGGCGUCAACUAGCGGGAUCGCCGCAAAGGGCCGUUUGUCCUGAUGCAGUUAAAAACCAACAAACUGGCCGAGCUGAAAGCCUGUUGAUCGGCGUUCAGCGAAGCGAGAUACAAAUGAUUAACUAAACAUGUAGAUGCCUGUUUUGAAACAUUUCGGGACGCGGGUUCGAAUCCCGCCGCCUCCA
This 351-nucleotide transfer-messenger RNA is filed under the name Planctomycetes bacterium ADurb.Bin401. RNAcentral describes it as "transfer-messenger RNA, SsrA". It matches the Rfam family "transfer-messenger RNA". From Rfam's summary of the family: Bacterial tmRNA, also known as 10Sa RNA or SsrA, is named for its dual tRNA and mRNA-like properties. Its role is to liberate the mRNA from a stalled ribosome. Lineage: Bacteria; Pseudomonadati; Planctomycetota. The record is from RNAcentral.